This 357-nucleotide ribosomal RNA is filed under the name uncultured bacterium. RNAcentral's name for it is "bacterial SSU rRNA". It matches the Rfam family "Bacterial small subunit ribosomal RNA", at positions 1 to 334 of the family's 1533-position model. The record is from RNAcentral.
CGACUACAGUCAGAGUUUGAUCCUGGCUCAGGAUGAACGCUGGCGGCGUGCUUAACACAUGCAAGUCGAACGAAGCAGUUUGUUUGGAUCCCUUCGGGGUGACGAACUUACUGACUGAGUGGCGGACGGGUGAGUAACGCGUGGGUAACCUGCCUUGCACAGGGGGAUAACAGUUAGAAAUGACUGCUAAUACCGCAUAACCCGCUAGUACCGCAUGGUACAGACGGAAAAGAUUUAUCGGUGUAAGAUGGACCCGCGUCUGAUUAGCUAGUUGGUGAGGUAACGGCUCACCAAGGCGACGAUCAGUAGCCGGCUUGAGAGAGUGAACGGCCACAUUGGGACUGAGACACGGCCCAA